GUCGGGCGCGGUGGCGCACGCCUGUAGUCCCAGCUACUCGGGAGGCUGAGACAGGAGGAUUGCUUGAGUCCAGGAGUUCUGGGCUGUAGUGCGCUAUGCCGAUUGGGUGUCCGCACUAAGUUCGGCAUCAAUAUGGUGACCUCCCGGGAGCGGGGGGCCACCAGGUUGCCUAAGGAGGGGUGAACCGGUCCAGGUCGGAAACGGAGCAGGUCAAAACUCCCGUGCUGAUCAGUAAUCCCUAAUCUUAAUCAGGGCCAGGAAAGACUAGAUCUGCUUUCAUGAGACUAAAACUUGGCUUUG
Molecule: non-coding RNA, 300 nt
Organism: Mesocricetus auratus (golden hamster)
Lineage: Eukaryota; Metazoa; Chordata; Mammalia; Rodentia; Cricetidae
Source: Rfam